This 392-nucleotide ribosomal RNA is filed under the name Luisella babai. RNAcentral describes it as "partial 16S ribosomal RNA". It matches the Rfam family "Archaeal large subunit ribosomal RNA", at positions 1999 to 2665 of the family's 2987-position model. Lineage: Eukaryota; Metazoa; Mollusca; Gastropoda; Nudibranchia; Samlidae. The record is from RNAcentral.
GAUAAAUAGCCGCGGUACCCUGACCGUGCUAAGGUAGCGUAAUCAGUUGACUUUUAAUUGGAGUCAGGAAUGAAUGGAAUAACUGGGUUUAACUGUCUCUAAUCUAUUAUGUUGAAUUUACUGUUCAAGUGAAAAAGCUUGAAAUUUAUAAAAAGACGAGAAGACCCUUAGAAUUUUUUUAAAAACAAUAAUACUUGCAAUAAUUUUGUUGGGGCGACAAGGAGAUAAAUCUAAACUUUCUCUAUAUCUACAUGACAACUAUACUGUGAAAGAAUAAAUUACCUUAGGGAUAACAGCAUAAUUCUAUAAUUGAGUUUGUGACCUCGAUGUUGGACUAGGAAACUAGCAGGUUAGCCGUUUGCUAAGUAGGUUCUGUUCGAACUAUCAUUCCU